UUUCUGUUGGAAAAGAGAACAAAGAAAAACUGAAACUCACGUCAAGCAUUCUUUUUUUGGCUCAUGCCGGCUGGACAGGAAAUGACAUGGAUCCACUUAACCACAACAAUAUGGGAAGAGGGCUGCAGCUGUAUCCUUUCCAUGAGGAUACAGAACUUGGCUAACUAUCACUUUUCAAUUCAUUAAACGGUUUAAGCUCUGUGAAAUGACAGGAGGGCAGCAGUCAAAACUCACCUACUAAGGCGAACAAAGAGCAAGAAUUUAAAAGAAUAGUGUAGAAAUUACAAGCUUGUUGUUAUAACUUCAUGCCCAAUCAGUAAUGGGCCAUUUCCCUCUGUGAGCCACAUAAUCUCUGCUAAAUCCCUCUACAAUGAAACCUUGUGUAACGUAACCUUAAAUACAAUACAUUCAAGAUGUUAUGUGGUGUGACUAUUCGAAAACUCAAAAAUAUUUUAUGAAUAAAUAAUUUAAUAAUAAUAUUAUGAAGUAAUAAUAACAAAAAAAAAUGACUUUGAAUAAUAUAUUUUACUUGGGGAAAAAAGAUGCAAAUCUGUAGUAACAUGUAUUCAAAGUGUUAGCAAUUACUUUUCAGUUGGUCAAACAUAAUAUUUAAAAUGUCAAUACAAUCUUGAAUUUAGUGCAUGUUUUAAAAAUUUGAUUCUUAUUUUUAUUUAUUGUGGGUACUCAUGUCAGUGACCCUCAUAAUAACACUAUAUAUAUUUUAAAAAUCUUGUUUAGAAUACCAUAAAUAAAUAAUGCUAACACUAGAUCAAAACUACUAUUGAUUUAAUAAAAAAUAAAAAAUAAAAAAAAAAUAACAAUGCAAUGACACAAUUACAAACUGGCACUAUAAUGGAUAAGCAAAACAAACACACCGUCUGCCAUGAAUGUGAGGUAAUAAAUCUCAAUCAUUAUUCCAACCCACCUCAGAUGCUGGCAGUGCAGUCAGACUCCCAGCAGCCACUGCAUGAAAACAAGAAACUCAAGCCCAACAGCUGCGCUGGCCGCCUGCAGCCUGACUGAAACCAGAGCCCAUCAUCUCCACUCUACUAGGGAUCAGCUGUGCGAGUGCCACAUUUUUGCAGCUGUCCCCAGAUGUUUACACUCACGAUGGAUGACUGACAGUGAAAGCUUGUCAUCGCGGCUGUGACACAGUCAACGUGAAAGGAAACGAAAGACAACAAUGGCAACAAUGAGUAAAAGACUGACCCUUUUGCUGAAUCAGUCCUAUUGGCUCCUCUGUUUGAGCACAACUCCCUCAAAAAAAAGAACCUGUUUGUCUUUCCUGGGAUCGGUAAACAUCCUCAACACAAACAGAAGAAAGUCACACCACCAGGCCAGCUGCGCUCUCACUGUAUGUGUCUAUAGAUGUCUGUAGGAGGGAACUGAUA
Carassius gibelio (silver crucian carp) is the source of this 1391-nucleotide long non-coding RNA. RefSeq lists it as uncharacterized. NCBI's taxonomy places the organism in Eukaryota, Metazoa, Chordata, Actinopteri, Cypriniformes, Cyprinidae. The transcript has 3 exons. The record is from RefSeq and is a predicted model, not a curated record.